GCAACCUCCAACUGGCGCAGCAGAGUGUGGUGGUGUUCCGCUCGCUGCUGGGCAUUAGCUGGAUGUGGUUCUUUGGCGCGAUGUUUCUGUCGCAGUUUCCGAGCCUGGCCAAAGAGGUGCUG
This 122-nucleotide non-coding RNA is filed under the name Verminephrobacter eiseniae EF01-2. RNAcentral describes it as "Burkholderia RNA 11". It matches the Rfam family "Burkholderia RNA 11". From Rfam's summary of the family: Co-purified with Hfq, expression confirmed by Northern blot. Predicted target marZ. Lineage: Bacteria; Pseudomonadati; Pseudomonadota; Betaproteobacteria; Burkholderiales; Comamonadaceae. The record is from Rfam by way of RNAcentral.